Molecule: ribosomal RNA, 478 nt
Filed under: uncultured bacterium
Lineage: Bacteria
Description: partial 16S ribosomal RNA
Rfam family: Bacterial small subunit ribosomal RNA
Source: RNAcentral
GAUGAACGCUCGCGGCAGGCCUAACACAUGCAAGUCGAGGGAGAAGCCCUUUCGGGGGCAGAAACCGGCGCACGGGUGCGUAACGCGUAUGCAACCUACCUUUCACAGGGGGAUAGCCCGAAGAAAUUUGGAUUAAUACCCCAUAAUACUAUUGGAUGGCAUCAUUUGAUAAUUAAAACUGCGGUGGUGAAAGAUGGGCAUGCGUCCUAUUAGCUAGUUGGAGUGGUAACGGCACCCCAAGGCUACGAUAGGUAGGGGUCCUGAGAGGGAGAUCCCCCACACUGGUACUGAGACAGGGACCAGACUCCUACGGGAGGCAGCAGUGAGGAAUAUUGGGCAAUGGUCGGAAGACUGAACCAGCCAUGCCGCGUGCAGGAAGAAUGCCUUAUGGGUUGUGAACUGCUUUUAUAUGGGAAGAAUAAGGUGUACGUGUACAUUGAUGACGGUACCAUAUGAAUAAGCAGCGGCUAACUCCGUG